This is a long non-coding RNA of Amphiprion ocellaris (clown anemonefish), 1090 nucleotides long. RefSeq lists it as uncharacterized. The transcript is spliced from 3 exons. The record is from RefSeq and is a predicted model, not a curated record. NCBI's taxonomy places the organism in Eukaryota, Metazoa, Chordata, Actinopteri, Pomacentridae.
ACCUCUCAACUGUUUACUGAACGCAGAGCUGUGAUGUUUAGCAGCUGCAAUGCAGAGACUUCAUUGGCUGAGUAGCGUCACGUGGGAUGGCUGAACUCGUACGUAAUUGGUCUGUGUGUUUCCUGAGCUGAUAACUAAUGCCGUAAACACUGGGAAAGCUGUGCCGGUAAAACAGAAGCGACCGGUCAAAUUUAAAAUUUACUGAUUACAGGUCCGGUCCGUUUAGACGGCGUCUGGGUCCGGAUCCGGACCGCGGUCCGCCAGUUAGUGACCCCUGCCAUAGACAGAAGACAGCGCUAGCGUAUCUAGUCUUCUAUCUAUAGCUAUGGUCGGUACGACUGGUAGCAUCUCUGGCUGCUGUUGACCUUGUUUUUGGAGUAAAACACGGUGGAAGCUGAAUUAGUGAGGAUGACUCCUGCUCCUGUCAUCUCUAAGCUCCUCACACAUCUUUACCUGCACAUGAGGAAAAUCACUCCUGUAGAAUGCAGAUGUUCAGAGGGAGAUGAUGCCACAUCUGGUCCAGCCGAUGGAAGGUCUUGAAGUUCUCUGACUGGCCUCGACUGAAGAUGGUCGUCUCACUGGAUUUAAGGUUCAGAUGCUCAGUAACAAACUCCACCAAUGAGCCAACAGGGAAGCUUUAGGUUUAUUAAAUGUUGCUAUGAAGGUAUCGCUGUUUUUCUUUGUGAAUGCAAUGUGCUCCAACUGAAACUUGAAUUAGAACUUAGAAGUAAAUCCUUCCAUCUGAAAGGAUUUAGUUGCAUUAAUAACCUCAUAAGAUUCUAAUUUUUAUUCCAAUCAUUGUUGGAAAUAGAAUCUCUGUAUUGAUUCAGGUAAAAACUGAACUUCACAGCAUGUUGGAGCAAAACAACCAGAUGAAAACUGUGAUGGUGUUGGAUUGUCAGACUGUAAUGUUGCAGCUCAAAGCAGCUUUUCUAGCUCAGUUCAUUCUGACAUUCAGCUAUGAAUCAACACAGCAGAUGGUGAUCCAUGCUGUGGAAGUCUCACAUCUCCUGAUUUAAUGGAGCUGCUUUGCACUUUUUACACUGUUUAUUCACCAACACUUUAUUUAAUAAAAGUCCCAUCUAGUUUU